RNAcentral lists this transfer RNA (88 nucleotides) under Lentisphaerota bacterium. RNAcentral's name for it is "Lentisphaerae bacterium (feces metagenome) tRNA-Ser". It matches the Rfam family "tRNA". From Rfam's summary of the family: Transfer RNA (tRNA) molecules are approximately 80 nucleotides in length. Lineage: Bacteria; Pseudomonadati; Lentisphaerota. The record is from RNAcentral.
GGAGAGAUGGUCGAGUGGUUUAAGGCAGCGGUCUUGAAAACCGCCGAGGCGCAAGCCUCCGCGAGUUCGAAUCUCGCUCUCUCCGCCA